Molecule: ribosomal RNA, 417 nt
Filed under: Fejervarya cancrivora (crab-eating frog)
Lineage: Eukaryota; Metazoa; Chordata; Amphibia; Anura; Dicroglossidae
Description: partial 12S ribosomal RNA
Source: RNAcentral
CACAAAGGUUUGGUCCUAGCCUUACUAUCAAUUGUCUCUCAAUUUACACAUGCAAGUCUCAGCACUCCCGUGAGGACGCCCUUUUCCCUUUACCAGGUUAAGGAGCUGAUAUCAGGCACACUUCACCACCACCCCUGCCCACAACAUCUGGUCCCACCACACCCACAAGGGUAUUCAGCAGUGAUAAACAUUGUUCAUAAGCGUCAGCUUGACUCAGUCAGAGAGAAGAGGGCCGGCCAACUUGGUGCCAGCCGCCGCGGCUAUACCCACGGGCCCAAAUUGAUAAUACUCGGCGUUAAGCGUGAUUAAAGUCUGAUCAAAUUAGAGUUGAACCUACGAUCCAGCUGUAAAAAGCAUGCACUAGGGAAAACCGUAAACGAAAGUUACUCUAAUCUACACUUGAAUACACGACAACUA